GAUGAACGCUAGCUACAGGCUUAACACAUGCAAGUCGAGGGGAAACGGCAUCGAAAGCUUGCUUUUGAUGGGCGUCGACCGGCGCACGGGUGAGUAACGCGUAUCCAACCUGCCCAUCACUUGGGAAUAACCUUGCGAAAGUAAGACUAAUGCCCAAUGACAUCCCACGAAGGCAUCCGAAUGGGAUUAAAGAUUUAUCGGUGAUGGAUGGGGAUGCGUCUGAUUAGCUUGUUGGCGGGGUGACGGCCCACCAAGGCAACGAUCAGUAGGGGUUCUGAGAGGAAGGUCCCCCACAUUGGAACUGAGACACGGUCCAAACUCCUACGGGAGGCAGCAGUGAGGAAUAUUGGUCAAUGGGCGAGAGCCUGAACCAGCCAAGUAGUGUGCAGGAUGACGGCCCUAUGGGUUGUAAACUGCUUUUAUAAGGGAAUAAAGUGGGUCACGUGUGACUUUUUGCAUGUACCUUAUGAAUAAGGACCGGCUAAUUCCGUG
This 492-nucleotide ribosomal RNA is filed under the name uncultured bacterium. Its description in RNAcentral is "partial 16S ribosomal RNA". It matches the Rfam family "Bacterial small subunit ribosomal RNA", at positions 28 to 507 of the family's 1533-position model. The record is from RNAcentral.